This is a long non-coding RNA of Etheostoma spectabile (orangethroat darter), 111 nucleotides long. RefSeq lists it as uncharacterized. The transcript has 3 exons. The record is from RefSeq and is a predicted model, not a curated record. Lineage: Eukaryota; Metazoa; Chordata; Actinopteri; Perciformes; Percidae.
AUGGGGAUUGAUUCCCUUUUGGAGCGAUGAACUACAGUUUUUGGCACUUCCGCAUGGCUUCAUUUUUCAGCACCAGAGGUUGCUUCUUGCAUAGGAAUCCAAAUUAUUAGA